Molecule: long non-coding RNA, 3331 nt
Organism: Esox lucius (northern pike)
Lineage: Eukaryota; Metazoa; Chordata; Actinopteri; Esociformes; Esocidae
Source: Ensembl
GUUGGCAUAGCACACUACAACUUUUUAGUUUAUUUCUGUCUUGUAAAACAACAGUAGGACUUUGCUAAUUGAAGUUAAGCCUUGUGUAAUUAUUUCAAAGUAGAACAUGAAUUGCAUCACAAUUGUGUCCUAUUGUUCUUGCAAGUAUUAAUCCCUUUCUCUAUUGGUUCACCUCUGGCUUAUUGGAAUUUCCCUUUUGUUUUGCUCUACAAAUUAAACAAUAUUAUUAUAAUCAAGCAAUGAGUUGUCAAUCUAUCUCUGAGGAGGUCCUGUAACUCUGUAUUUCUCUCUGGUAGCAGUCAUCUUUCAUAUCUGUGAAAAUAUGGAGUAGUUGGCCUGUUCCCCCAUUGUUCAAUACAUCCUGGAGUGGUUAAUGGAGAAUGUAUAGAGUGGUAUAUGGAGAAAGUAUACAGUGGUACAUGGAGAAAGUAUACAGUGGUACAUGGAGAAAAUAUACAGUGGUACAUGGAGAAAGUAUACAGUGCUACAUGGAGAAAGUAUACAGUGGUACAUGGAGAAAGUAUACAGUGGUACAUGGAGAAUGUAUACAGUGGUACAUGGAGAAACUAUACAGUGGUACAUGGAGAAAGUAUACAGUGGUUUAUGGAAAAACCCUGAAACCCCAGAGAACAAGCAACAACAGUGUUGAUGCACAGUGGCUAGGAAAAAUGCCCUAAAUGGAUAUGAAAUUUAGGAAGAAACCUAGAGAGGAACCUGGCUCUGAGGUGUGGCCUGUCCUCUUCUGCCUAUGCCAGGUGAACAUCUUAAGAGUACAGACUGUAAUAAUUUAUAAAUGCAUGUGGGCAGAGUCCAGAGUCUAUAAAACAAUCCAUGUCAGAAGCAUGACCAGAUGGACAAGGACAGGGAUCCGUGGGGGAGGAAUGGUCAAUGGAGUAGCUGGAAUCGUUAUGUAUCGUCUUUAUCUGCAACACAAUCAGGAAGACUUUGAACAGGGACAUCUAUGAGUCUUUCGAGACUGGUACUCCUGAGGUGUGGGCCAGGACCUCAUGUACUCCUUUCAGACGCAGCAGGAGACAAGGAAAAUUUAGAGAGCGCAUUCUUUAGAUUAACAAGGAUUUACAAAGGCGAAAGGUAACUGACCCUACUCCCCCAGCACAAUAAUAAUACAUCAGAGGGGGUAGGGCCAAAUGCAUCUUCAUGCAUUGGGAUCAAGGCUUGUUAAUCUAUACAUAAUAAAUGUGAAUAAAUGUGAUCCAUGUGUUAAACCAAACCUGGGUUUGUCUGAAUACUGCCUCAGACAUGGGGUCUCCUACCGCUGAUAACCCCUCCUUCACAUGUUCACAAUGUUGACAUCACUCCUACUGCAAAAUGUUCUAUUGCCUCUGGAUUUUCUAGCGCCUCUAGUUGCUGCCUGCUUCAGUGUUGUUGAGUGGGAAUACUGAACCACAGGGUGGUGAUGUUGGACACAAUAAAACAGGAGGGUUCCUCGUUGGAGAACUACAGCAUAGAGCCUCUGCAGGGCUGAACUUUCGAAAGCAGUUCUGAUAAUAAUGACAUGACUGCACCUCGACAUGGAGAUGUACCAGCAGUUUACCUGUUGGCCUUAUUUCACAUCAGAGAAACCGUCAAUUUACUCACUGUUUGAUCUUGUGACCAGUUACAUGAGAUUUUAUUCACUCAGAACAUGGGAUUGGUGAAAGAAUAAUUUUAUUGAAGACAUUUGGGCUGUGUGAUCCGUGUGGGAGUGUUGUGGAUGAAUCAGUGGAUGAUGGCGUUUUAAUGUGUCCAUUUGGACCCGAGCAUCGCACACUGCUGCACUCACUCAGCCAUCUACUCCUCCAAUACAUUUUGGGAGGCAGGUCUUACCAGGACAUUGAGAAUAACCCGUGGUAUUGAAGACAUUGAGAGACAUCAACAGACACACAAGCAGAGAGAGACAUCAACAGACACAUGAGGAGAGAGAGAGAAAUCAACAGACACACGAGGAGAGAGCAAGACAUAAACAAACACAUGAGGAGAGAGAGACAUCAACAGACACCCAAACAGAGAGAGAUGUCAACAGACACACAAGGAGAGUGAGAGACAUCAACAGACAGAUGAGAAGAGAGAGAGACAUCAACAGACAGAUGAGGAGAGAGCGAGAGACAUCAACAGACACAUGAAGAGAGUGAGAAACAUCAACAGGCACACGAGGGGAGAAAGACAUCAACAGACACACAAGGAGCAAGAGAGACAUCCACAGACACACGAGGAGAGAAACAUCAAAAGACACACAAGGAGAGAAAUCAACAGACACCCAAGGAGAGAGAAAGACAUCAACAGACACCCAAGGAUAGAGAGAGACAUCAACAGACACAUGAGGAGAGAGAAAGACAUCAACAGACACCCAAGGAGAGAGAGAGACAUCAACAGACACAUGAGGAGAGAGAAAGACAUCAACAGACACAUGAGGAGAGAGAAAGACAUCAACAGACACCCAAGGAGAGAGAGAGACAUCAACAGACACAUGAGGAGAAAGAAAGACAGCAACAGACACCCAAGGAUAGAGAGAGACAUCAACAGACACAUGAGGAGAAAGAAAGACAUCAACAGACACCCAAGGAGAGAGAGAAACAUCAACAGACACACGAGGAGAGAGACAUCAACAGACACAUGAGGAGAGAAAGACAUCAAGAGAUACAUGAGCAGAGAGAGACACAUCAACAGACACACGAAGAGAGAGAUGCAUCAACAGACACUCAAGCAGAGAGACACAUCAACAGUCACGAAGAGAGAGAGAUAUCAACAGACACUUGAGGAGAGAGAGAGAAAGAGAGAGAGAUUGAGACGUACCUUCAGGCUGCUGAAGGCACCAAACAACAGAACUGGUCCCAGUAUGUUACAUAAGGACAUAUAUGCAGUAGCCAGUUGGUAAGAGAAGCUGCGUUCUGCCGGAAAGCUCAGUGCUGCCGGCUGGUGGCUGAAAACCAUACUGCAUGUUGAAGCCUGUGGCUUGUGGCCAACCAUGAGAAUUAUUAAGUACGUUUACACACGUAGGAUAUCAUUUGCAAAUGCAUCUACAUGGAGGAAGAUGGGAUCUGGGUGCAGUCUAGUGGAGUUAGUCUCUCUGGGACAGAUGUUUAGUUAACAGUUUGGAGGUGUUAUGAUGAGGUCACCAUAGUCCUGUUAGUGUCUCUCUACCUGUAUUAUUAUUACUCUCUACCGGCAUUCUUAUUACUCUCUCUACCUGUUUUAUUACUACUCUCUCUACCUGUAUUAUUAUUACUCUCUCUACCGAUACUAUUAUUACUCUCUCCCUGUGUUUGGUUUUAUCAGGCUAAAAUGUUAGGGACAUUAUAGUGUUGAAUGUGAUAAAGAAAGUUGAGUCAAU